Molecule: long non-coding RNA, 386 nt
Organism: Pistacia vera
Lineage: Eukaryota; Viridiplantae; Streptophyta; Magnoliopsida; Sapindales; Anacardiaceae
Exons: 5
Source: RefSeq, a predicted model, not a curated record
AAGAUGGGCCAGGAUACUAAUCAAGCAGAAAGUGGGAUUCGAUUACGAAGUCGAUAAAGUCAAGCAGGAUGUGGCAGACAACGUGAUUGGUGACAAGAACACUUACAUGCAGCGUGUGAAAGCUGAGGGUAAUAGGGAAGGAGAACAGAUUCCAGCGGGCGAGUCCUCGGAUCGAAUGGUGACAGAGUAAACACUCUUUUUUAGUCUCUCUAAGUGCUCAGAAGGAAUGGUAAUAGACGGGUAGUUACUUAGAAUAUAAAUGUCAGAAUAAAAGAUAGGAUACGAGUUAGUGGGAUGAUAUGUAAAAUACUUAUAUGCAAUGUAAACAGAAAUACAGAUAAUACAAUAAUACAAAUAAUAUAAUAUUGAUAGACUAUAAAUCAAGA